UCUUCAUUCCGCGCACUCUCUCACCGGUCAGAGUGACGAGAGAGUGUGAGAAAUGAAGAGA
This is a non-coding RNA of Pristionchus pacificus, 61 nucleotides long. Lineage: Eukaryota; Metazoa; Nematoda; Chromadorea; Rhabditida; Neodiplogasteridae. The record is from Rfam.